Sitophilus oryzae (rice weevil) is the source of this 727-nucleotide long non-coding RNA. RefSeq lists it as uncharacterized. The transcript is spliced from 3 exons. The record is from RefSeq and is a predicted model, not a curated record. NCBI's taxonomy places the organism in Eukaryota, Metazoa, Arthropoda, Insecta, Coleoptera, Curculionidae.
GUUUUCCAUGUAUUCUACAACAUGACAGCGUGACGUCAUAAAUCUCGCCCGGAGGCUGAUCUUUUAAUAGAAGGCACUGGUUGAGGAUACAUUUAAAAUACGCUAUUAACGUGGAUUUGGACGACAAUAGGUUUUUAGUUUGUGAUGUUUCAUGUGAUGAUCAUUUUCAUGUUCAUCGUCUUUGAAUUGACAUGAGGAUAUCUAUGGAAAAGUAACUAAUCUGAAAGUAAGCCAACAUAUCGUUUGUCCUUUGUGUGCUAAAGAAAAGAUUUUCUUUUCGCAUCAUGAGGAAGUAUUACAUCAAUUAAAAAAUGUUAGGAAGUUGAUUACUUGUCAUGGAAAAGUAUACCAAUGGAAAUUAUUUGUUAAAGAAGUAUAAUUCUAAGGGUUUUAAGAAUAAAUUGGUUGAACCCAAAAUCUGGAGGAAGUACCUAUAUCCAUACACAGAAUAUGCCCAUUAAAAAUACUAGUCCAAAUUUGCUUUAAUGGUAGACAAUUAUUCAAUACAAAUUAACUUUUUAAGUGACUGAAAUAUUAAAUAGUUUAGAAUAUGGUAUAACAAUGUAAAAAAAUAUUAUUUUCAGGAACGAUUAGGGCCCGAUAUAUUUGAAACUCAUGUUGGACAUAGUAUUGAGUUGGGUAGAAUAUUAUUCUACGUUAAGUGAGGGUAUCAGAUACCUAUUAUUGUACUGUAUUUUAAUAUAUACAUUAGAAUUGUUGGUUUUUU